CGGUAAUACAUAGGGGGCAAGCGUUAUCCGGAAUUACUGGGCGUAAAGAGUGAGUAGGCGGAUAUUAAAGUCAGAGGUAAAAUAUAGGGGCUCAACCCCUACCAGCCUUUGAAACUUAAUAUCUUGAGUAUAGGAGAGGAAAGUGGAAUUCCAAGUGUAGAGGUGAAAUUCGUAGAUAUUUGGAAGAAUACCAGUGGCGAAGGCGACUUUCUGGACUAAAACUGACGCUGAUGCACGAAAGCAUGGGUAGCAAACAGGAUUAGAUACCCUGGUAGUCCAUGCCGUAAACGAUGAGCACUAGGUGUCGGGUGUAAAGCUCGGUGCCGGCGUAAACACAAUAAGUGCUCCGCCUGGGGAGUACGUUCGCAAGANUAAACUCAAAGGAAUUGACNGGGACCCNCACAGUAGCGGACAUGUGGUUUAUUCG
RNAcentral lists this ribosomal RNA (427 nucleotides) under uncultured bacterium. Its description in RNAcentral is "bacterial SSU rRNA". It matches the Rfam family "Bacterial small subunit ribosomal RNA", at positions 518 to 953 of the family's 1533-position model. The record is from RNAcentral.